RNAcentral lists this ribosomal RNA (633 nucleotides) under Triticum aestivum (bread wheat). Its description in RNAcentral is "partial small subunit ribosomal RNA". The record is from RNAcentral. Lineage: Eukaryota; Viridiplantae; Streptophyta; Magnoliopsida; Poales; Poaceae.
AUGCGGGCAGGCGUUGGGCGCGGGGCAGGUGGACAUGCUCGGCGUCUACAUCCAGCGAUCCUGGAUCAUUUGCGGCGCCACCGACUCGUGCCGACCUAUGUCUUCACGGCGCCCAUCCUGCUGGCGCUCCACCAGCCCACUGCCAUCUCCGUCGUUGCCGGGCGGUACACGCGGUUGGCCGUCCCGCAGUUGUUCGCCUACGCCGCCAACUUCCCGCUGCAGAAGUUCUUCCAGGCGCAGAGCAAGGUCUGGGCCAUGACCUUCAUUUCCGGCGCGGGGCUCGCCCUCCACAUUGUGCUCAACUACGUCUUCGUCACACGCCUUGGCCACGGCCUCUUCGGCGCCGCCAUGAUCGGGAAUGUCACCUGGUGGAUCAUCAUCGUUGCGCAGUUCGCCUACCUAGUCUCCGGUUACUUCCCAGAGGCGUGGAAGGGGUUCUCCGUGCUCGCCUUCAAUAACCUGGCUGCCUUCGUCAAGUUGUCCCUUGCCUCCACCGUCAUGCUCUGCUUGGAGCUGUGGUACUACAGUGCAGUGCUCAUCCUUGUGGGUCUCCUCAAGAAUGCUCAACUCCAGGUUGACGUCAUGUCCAUUUGUCUGACUUUUUUUUUACAUCAACCCUUAUGGUGGCAAUAG